GGUGGGAUGACAGAGUGGACGAACGUGCCUGCCUGGAAAGCAGGUGGCUGAAAGGCCUCGUCGGUUCGAAUCCCACUCCCACCG
RNAcentral lists this transfer RNA (84 nucleotides) under Halorubrum aidingense JCM 13560. RNAcentral's name for it is "tRNA-Ser". It matches the Rfam family "tRNA". Rfam says of the family: Transfer RNA (tRNA) molecules are approximately 80 nucleotides in length. Their secondary structure includes four short double-helical elements and three loops (D, anti-codon, and T loops). Further hydrogen bonds mediate the characteristic L-shaped molecular structure. tRNAs have two regions of fundamental functional importance: the anti-codon, which is responsible for specific mRNA codon recognition, and the 3' end, to which the tRNAs corresponding amino acid is attached (by aminoacyl-tRNA synthetases). tRNAs cope with the degeneracy of the genetic code in two manners: having more than one tRNA (with a specific anti-codon) for a particular amino acid; and 'wobble' base-pairing, i.e. permitting non-standard base-pairing at the 3rd anti-codon position. The record is from RNAcentral. Lineage: Archaea; Methanobacteriati; Methanobacteriota; Halobacteria; Halobacteriales; Haloferacaceae.